Molecule: ribosomal RNA, 266 nt
Filed under: uncultured bacterium
Lineage: Bacteria
Description: partial 16S ribosomal RNA
Rfam family: Bacterial small subunit ribosomal RNA
Source: RNAcentral
UACGUAGGGGGCUAGCGUUGUCCGGAAUCACUGGGCGUAAAGGGCGCGUAGGCGGCCUGGUAAGUAGGGGGUGAAAUCCUGCGGCUUAACCGCAGGGCUGCCUUCUAAACUGUCAGGCUCGAGCACGGUAGAGGCAGAUGAAAUUCCCGGUGUAGCGGUGGAAUGCGUAGAGAUCGGGAAGAACAUCAGUGGCGAAGGCGGUCUGCUGGGCCGUUGCUGACGCUGAGGCGCGACAGCGUGGGGAGCAAACAGGGAUUACGAAACCC